RNAcentral lists this ribosomal RNA (283 nucleotides) under Salmonella enterica subsp. enterica serovar Kisarawe. RNAcentral describes it as "partial 23S ribosomal RNA". It matches the Rfam family "Bacterial large subunit ribosomal RNA", at positions 1273 to 1556 of the family's 2925-position model. Lineage: Bacteria; Pseudomonadati; Pseudomonadota; Gammaproteobacteria; Enterobacterales; Enterobacteriaceae. The record is from RNAcentral.
CUGGAGGUAUCAGAAGUGCGAAUGCUGACAUAAGUAACGAUAAAGCGGGUGAAAAGCCCGCUCGCCGGAAGACCAAGGGUUCCUGUCCAACGUUAAUCGGGGCAGGGUGAGUCGACCCCUAAGGCGAGGCCGAAAGGCGUAGUCGAUGGGAAACGGGUUAAUAUUCCCGUACUUGGUGUUACUGCGAAGGGGGGACGGAGAAGGCUAUGUUGGCCGGGCGACGGUUGUCCCGGUUUAAGCGUGUAGGCGGGUGUUCCAGGUAAAUCCGGAACGCUGUUAACGC